This 559-nucleotide ribosomal RNA is filed under the name uncultured bacterium. Its description in RNAcentral is "bacterial SSU rRNA". It matches the Rfam family "Bacterial small subunit ribosomal RNA", at positions 338 to 916 of the family's 1533-position model. The record is from RNAcentral.
CCUACGGGAGGCAGCAGUAGGGAAUAUUGGACAAUGGAGGAACUCUGAUCCAGCCAUGCCGCGUGAGUGAUGAAGGCCUUAGGGUUGUAAAGCUCUUUUACCUGGGAAGAUAAUGACUGUACCAGGAGAAUAAGCCCCGGCUAACUUCGUGCCAGCAGCCGCGGUAAUACGAAGGGGGCUAGCGUUGUUCGGAAUCACUGGGCGUAAAGCGUUUGUAGGCGGACUUUUAAGUCAGGGGUGAAAUCCCAGAGCUCAACUCUGGAACUGCCUUUGAUACUGGAAGUCUUGAGUAUGGAAGAGGUUGGUGGAACUGCUAGUGUAGAGGUGAAAUUCGUAGAUAUUAGCAAGAACACCAGUGGCGAAGGCGGCCAACUGGUCCAUCACUGACGCUGAGAAACGAAAGCGUGGGUAGCAAACAGGAUUAGAUACCCUGGUAGUCCACGCCGUAAACUAUGAGAGCUAGUCGUUGGUCUGUUUACAGAUCAGUGACGCAGAUAACUCGAUAAGCUCUCCGCCUGGGGAGUACGGUCGCAAGAUUAAAACUCAAAUGAAUUGACGG